GGAUCGCAGGCUGCAACCCGCCUGCGUGAAGUUGGAAUCGCUAGUAAUCGCGGAUCAGCAUGCCGCGGUGAAUACGUUCCCGGGCCUUGUACACACCGCCCGUCACACCAUGGGAGCCGGAAAUGCCCGAAGUCAGUGACCCAACCGCAAGGAGGGAGCUGCCGAAGGUGGAGCUGGUAACUGGGGUGAAGUCGUAACAAGGUACC
This 206-nucleotide ribosomal RNA is filed under the name uncultured bacterium. Its description in RNAcentral is "partial 16S ribosomal RNA". It matches the Rfam family "Bacterial small subunit ribosomal RNA", at positions 1295 to 1500 of the family's 1533-position model. The record is from RNAcentral.